RNAcentral lists this transfer RNA (69 nucleotides) under Aplodinotus grunniens (freshwater drum). RNAcentral describes it as "tRNA-His". It matches the Rfam family "tRNA". Rfam says of the family: Transfer RNA (tRNA) molecules are approximately 80 nucleotides in length. Their secondary structure includes four short double-helical elements and three loops (D, anti-codon, and T loops). Lineage: Eukaryota; Metazoa; Chordata; Actinopteri; Sciaenidae. The record is from RNAcentral.
GUAGGCAUAGUUUAACAAAAACAUUAGAUUGUGAUUCUAAAAAUAGAGGUUAAAACCCUCUUGCUCACC